UACGUAGGGUGCAAGCGUUAAUCGGAAUUACUGGGCGUAAAGCGUGCGCAGGCGGCUUUGCAAGACAGAUGUGAAAUCCCCGGGCUUAACCUGGGAACUGCAUUUGUGACUGCAUGGCUGGAGUGCGGCAGAGGGGGAUGGAAUUCCGCGUGUAGCAGUGAAAUGCGUAGAUAUGCGGAGGAACACCGAUGGCGAAGGCGAUCCCCUGGGCCUGCACUGACGCUCAUGCACGAAAGCGUGGGGAGCAAACAGA
Molecule: ribosomal RNA, 253 nt
Filed under: uncultured bacterium
Lineage: Bacteria
Description: partial 16S ribosomal RNA
Rfam family: Bacterial small subunit ribosomal RNA
Source: RNAcentral